UAUGGAGGGUGCGAGCGUUGUCCGGAAUCAUUGGGCGUAAAGGGCGCGUAGGUGGCGGGACAAGCGUGCGGUGAAAGCUCGGGGCUCAACCCCGAGUCGGCCGUGCGAACUGUUUUGCUGGAGCACUGUAGAGGCAGGCGGAAUUCCGGGUGUAGCGGUGGAAUGCGUAGAGAUCCGGAAGAACACCAGUGGCGAAGGCGGCCUGCUGGGCAGUAGCUGACACUGAGGCGCGACAGCGUGGGGAGCAAACAGG
Molecule: ribosomal RNA, 253 nt
Filed under: uncultured bacterium
Lineage: Bacteria
Description: partial 16S ribosomal RNA
Rfam family: Bacterial small subunit ribosomal RNA
Source: RNAcentral